UGGGUAACCUGCCCUUCACUGGGUGACAACCGAGGGAAACUUCGGCUAAUACCGCAUGAUGUGCGUUGUCUCAAGGCGACGUACCAAAACUCCGGUGGUGAAGGAUGGGCCCGCGGCGGAUUAGCUUGUUGGUGGGGUAAUGGCCUACCAAGGCAACGAUCCGUAGCUGGU
Molecule: ribosomal RNA, 171 nt
Filed under: uncultured bacterium
Lineage: Bacteria
Description: partial 16S ribosomal RNA
Rfam family: Bacterial small subunit ribosomal RNA
Source: RNAcentral